RNAcentral lists this long non-coding RNA (410 nucleotides) under Mytilus galloprovincialis (Mediterranean mussel). The record is from RNAcentral. Lineage: Eukaryota; Metazoa; Mollusca; Bivalvia; Mytilida; Mytilidae.
CCAAGUUUAUAAAUUUAUGUGAUUGAGACCUUGUAAUUGAUCAUCCACAACUCAUAACUGCAGCAAGAUGGCAGAUAAUCAGCAUGAGGGAAGCAGGUAUGUCGCUGUGACAAUUGCACGUAUUGUUUGUCAUCACCAUUCCACUAUAAGUCGUUUUGAGAAUAAAAAUCAGUCAAGAAACGAUGUUAAAGACCUUCCGAGGUCAAGAAGACCCCCUAUAACAUCUGCUAGUGAAAAUCAAGCAUAAUGAAGGUUGGUCAGAAGGAAACCCAUUGCAAACAAUACAAUCCUAAAAAGAGAGUUAUGACCAUACAGGAGCCUUUAAACAAGAACUGUUCGAGAUUGGCUCAUCGCUACUGGUUAUCGUGCGAUAAUACCAUUUCGGGGACCUUUGCCUACGAACAGACACA